CCGGUUGUAUGUCGAGCUGUAGUUUAGGCUGUAGGUCCGGUUGUAGGUUUAGGUGUAGGUCCGGUUGUAGGUCAGGCUGUAGGUCAGGUUGUAGGUUCAGUUGUAGGUCAGGGUGUAGGUCGGGCUGUAGGUUCAGGUGUAGGUCGGGCUGUAGGUCAGGGUGUAGGUCGGGCUGUAGGUUCAGGUGUAGGUCUGGUUGUAGGUCAGGCUGUAGAUCUGGCUGUAGGUCAGGGUGUAGGUCGGGCUGUAGGUUUAGGUGUAGGUCCGGUUGUAGGUCAGGCUGUAGGUCAGGUUGUAGGUUCAGUUGUAGGUCAGGGUGUAGGUCGGGCUGUAGGUUCAGGUGUAGGUCGGGCUGUAGGUCAGGGUGUAGGUCGGGCUGUAGGUCAGGGUGAAGAUCUGGCUGUAGGUUCAGGUGUAGGUCUGGUUGUAGGUCAGGGUGUAGUUCAGGGUACUACAGUGUAGGGCUGGUUUAGGUUUAGGUGUAGGUCAGGGUGUAGUUCAGGGUGUAGGUCAGGGUGUAGUUCAGGGUACUACAGUGUAGGGCUGGUUUAGGGUGUAGUUCAGGGUGUAGAUUCGGGUGUAGUUCAGGGUACUACAGUGUAGGGCUGGUUUAGGGUGUAGUUCAGGGUGUAGAUUCGGGUGUAGUUCAGGGUACUACAGUGUAGGGCUGGUUUAGGGUGUAGUUCAGGGUGUAGAUUCGGGUG
Long non-coding RNA from Astyanax mexicanus (Mexican tetra), 704 nucleotides. RefSeq lists it as uncharacterized. The transcript is spliced from 10 exons. Lineage: Eukaryota; Metazoa; Chordata; Actinopteri; Characiformes; Acestrorhamphidae. The record is from RefSeq and is a predicted model, not a curated record.